GACGAACGCUGGCGGCGUGCCUAAUACAUGCAAGUCGAACGCACAGUUUAUACCGUAGCUUGCUACACCAUAGACUGUGAGUUGCGAACGGGUGAGUAACGCGUAGGCAACCUGCCUGGUAGCGGGGGAUAACUAUUGGAAACGAUAGCUAAUACCGCAUAAUAUUAAUUAUUGCAUGAUAAUUAAUUGAAAGGUGCAAUUGCACCACUACCAGAUGGACCUGCGUUGUAUUAGCUAGUAGGUGAGGUAACGGCUCACCUAGGCGACGAUACAUAGCCGACCUGGGAGGGUGAUCGGCCACACUGGGACUGAGACACGGCCCAGACUCCUACGGGAGGGAGCAGUAGGGAAUCUUCGGCAAUGGACGAAAGUCUGACCGAGCAACGCCGCGGGAGUGAAGAAGGGUUUCGGAUCGUAAAGCUCGGUUGUAAGGGAAGAACGGGUGUGAGAGUGGAAAGUUCACACUGUGACGGUAUCUUACCAGAAAGAGACGGCUAACUACGUG
Molecule: ribosomal RNA, 505 nt
Filed under: uncultured bacterium
Lineage: Bacteria
Description: partial 16S ribosomal RNA
Rfam family: Bacterial small subunit ribosomal RNA
Source: RNAcentral